RNAcentral lists this transfer RNA (70 nucleotides) under Saccopharynx lavenbergi. RNAcentral describes it as "tRNA-Arg". It matches the Rfam family "tRNA". Rfam says of the family: Transfer RNA (tRNA) molecules are approximately 80 nucleotides in length. Their secondary structure includes four short double-helical elements and three loops (D, anti-codon, and T loops). The record is from RNAcentral. Lineage: Eukaryota; Metazoa; Chordata; Actinopteri; Anguilliformes; Saccopharyngidae.
AGACUAUUAGUAUAAUUUAAGACACCUGACUUCGACUCAGACCCUCAUGGUUAAAAUCCAUGAUAGUCUU